UAUGGUUUUAACUCAGCUCAUCUUUAACUAACUGGCCUGUAUUAAUGUAGAAAAGGCCCAAAGUUACAUCAUAUAUGUUCAUUGUGUGACGUUUGUAGAUGUAGUGUUGGUCGGCUCUCUUUGGGACGGCUCCCUCUGCUGGCUGAUUCCGGUAACUGGCGGCAUUCAGACAGUGGAUGUUCCGGCAGAGUGAGUGAAGCUUCGGGUUAAACAGCUAAUUACCGUCACGGUUAGCGGUCUGUGCGUGGGUGCAAUAGAACCACGUGGGCUUUUAAUGGGCUUUAGUUGGAAUAAGAUACUGAUGGUUCCUGUGGAGACACAGUGGAGCAGCGAUCAGCACUAUAACCUACAACCCUCCAAAAGAAUGAGCCUCAUCACACUCAUUACAGAUAAUAACAGCUGCUGUUGAGGAUCAUGUAGCUUCAGUUUGUGCUGGUGAAGCACUGGUAUCUGCCCUGGUCCUGAACCUCCACCCCUGUCAGCUGGAGUGAGGCGUCUCCUCUGGAGAUCUGGUCCUUGAACAAUGAUGUUCGGUUUCUGAAGCUCUGGUCCUGGUGGUGGAGCUGGUCUUGGUUGUUGUAGUAGGAGUGGACAUGAAGGUUUCCUGCUUUCAGCUGAAUCCAGUCGAUUUCCACAUCAGGACCGACCUGGAAGCUGCACGGUAAGAUGCAGCUCUCCAUGGAAGCACAGGAGACGUCAGUGUCUGUAACAUGAAGGUUGAACAGAUGAAUGUGAUUGCUGCCCCCCCACAGUCUGAUACAGAAGGCCUGAAGUAAAGAGACUUGACUAAUGAAUGAAGGUAUCAGGCUGAACCAGCUGUGUGUGUUUGGAAAGGUGUGAUCAUGUGAGUAGACUGACGACCUUUGACUCUAAAUUUCAUUUCACUUCAUCUCAACAAAGUUGGAUUAACUGGUUGGUUUCAAAGUUACAUCUGAUGGAAGCUUCUGCUCGAAGCCACAGAGUCGAGCUUUUAUCACAGUUUCUUGUUAUAACAUGAAAACUUGUUCUGUUAUAAAGACAAAAGUUAAUUUUAACGACAUGCUGGUUUUGUGAAAUAAUGAAAAAGUUUUGUGAUAU
Toxotes jaculatrix (banded archerfish) is the source of this 1077-nucleotide long non-coding RNA. RefSeq lists it as uncharacterized. NCBI's taxonomy places the organism in Eukaryota, Metazoa, Chordata, Actinopteri, Toxotidae. The transcript has 4 exons. The record is from RefSeq and is a predicted model, not a curated record.